GGGGAAUUUUGGACAAUGGGCGCAAGCCUGAUCCAGCAAUGCCGCGUGCAGGAAGAAGGCCUUCGGGUUGUAAACUGCUUUUGUACGGAACGAAACGGUCCUGGUUAAUACCUGGGGCUAAUGACGGUACCGUAAGAAUAAGCACCGGCUAACUACGUGCCAGCAGCCGCGGUAAUACGUAGGGUGCAAGCGUUAAUCAGAAUUACUGGGCGUAAAGCAUGCGCAGGCGGUUUUGUAAGACAGACGUGAAAUCCCCGGGCUCAACCUGGGAAUGGCGUUUGUGACUGCAAGGCUGGAGUGCGGCAGAGGGGGAUGGAAUUCCGCGUGUAGCAGUGAAAUGCGUAGAUAUGCGGAGGAACACCGAUGGCGAAGGCAAUCCCCUGGGCCUGCACUGACGCUCAUGCACGAAAGCGUGGGGAGCAAAC
RNAcentral lists this ribosomal RNA (425 nucleotides) under uncultured bacterium. Its description in RNAcentral is "bacterial SSU rRNA". It matches the Rfam family "Bacterial small subunit ribosomal RNA", at positions 356 to 773 of the family's 1533-position model. The record is from RNAcentral.